This 253-nucleotide ribosomal RNA is filed under the name uncultured bacterium. RNAcentral describes it as "partial 16S ribosomal RNA". It matches the Rfam family "Bacterial small subunit ribosomal RNA", at positions 524 to 776 of the family's 1533-position model. The record is from RNAcentral.
UACGGGGGGGGCAAGCGUUGUUCGGAAUUACUGGGCGUAAAGGGCUCGUAGGCGGCCAACUAAGUCAUACGUGAAAUCCCUCGGCUUAACCGGGGAACUGCGUCUGAUACUGGAUGGCUUGAGAUUGGGAGAGGGAUGCGGAAUUCCAGGUGUAGCGGUGAAAUGCGUAGAUAUCUGGAGGAACAUCAGUGGCGAAGGCGACACCCUGGACUCAUACUGACACUGAGGUGCGAAAGCGUGGGGAGCAAACAGG